RNAcentral lists this ribosomal RNA (375 nucleotides) under uncultured bacterium. RNAcentral describes it as "bacterial SSU rRNA". It matches the Rfam family "Bacterial small subunit ribosomal RNA", at positions 521 to 896 of the family's 1533-position model. The record is from RNAcentral.
UAAUACAGAGGGUGCAAGCGUUAAUCGGAGUUACUGGGCGUAAAGGGCGCGUAGGCGGUAAGAUGUGAGUGAUGUGAAAGCCCCGGGCUUAACCUGGGAAGUGCAUCGCUGACUAUCUAACUGGAGUAUAAGAGAGGGUGGCGGAAUUUCCGGUGUAGCGGUGAAAUGCGUAGAGAUCGGAAGGAACGUCAAUGGCGAAGGCAGCCACCUGGCUUAAUACUGACGCUGAGGCGCGAAAGCGUGGGGAGCGAACAGGAUUAGAUACCCUGGUAGUCCACGCUGUAAACGAUGAGGACUAGAUGUUGGGAGGGGAACCUUUCAGUAUCGAAGCUAACGCGAUAAGUCUUCCGCCUGGGAAGUACGGCCGCAAGGUUG